Molecule: small RNA, 27 nt
Filed under: Bombyx mori (domestic silkworm)
Lineage: Eukaryota; Metazoa; Arthropoda; Insecta; Lepidoptera; Bombycidae
Description: ovarian small RNA-9921
Source: RNAcentral
AAACAGUAUUUGUUUACGACGGAUACA